RNAcentral lists this ribosomal RNA (2931 nucleotides) under Klebsiella aerogenes. RNAcentral describes it as "bacterial LSU rRNA". It matches the Rfam family "Bacterial large subunit ribosomal RNA". The record is from RNAcentral. Lineage: Bacteria; Pseudomonadati; Pseudomonadota; Gammaproteobacteria; Enterobacterales; Enterobacteriaceae.
GGGUUGUGAGGUUAAGCGACUAAGCGUACACGGUGGAUGCCCUGGCAGUCAGAGGCGAUGAAGGACGUGCUAAUCUGCGAAAAGCGUCGGUAAGGUGAUAUGAACCGUUAUAGCCGGCGAUGUCCGAAUGGGGAAACCCAGUGCAAUUCGUUGCACUAUCGUUAACUGAAUACAUAGGUUAACGAGGCGAACCGGGGGAACUGAAACAUCUAAGUACCCCGAGGAAAAGAAAUCAACCGAGAUUCCCCCAGUAGCGGCGAGCGAACGGGGAGCAGCCCAGAGUCUGAAUCAGCUUGUGUGUUAGUGGAACGGUCUGGAAAGUCCGACGGUACAGGGUGAUAGUCCCGUACACCAAAAUGCACAGGUUGUGAACUCGAAGAGUAGGGCGGGACACGUGGUAUCCUGUCUGAAUAUGGGGGGACCAUCCUCCAAGGCUAAAUACUCCUGACUGACCGAUAGUGAACCAGUACCGUGAGGGAAAGGCGAAAAGAACCCCGGCGAGGGGAGUGAAAAAGAACCUGAAACCGUGUACGUACAAGCAGUGGGAGCACCUUAGGGUGUGACUGCGUACCUUUUGUAUAAUGGGUCAGCGACUUAUAUUCUGUAGCAAGGUUAACCGUAUAGGGGAGCCGCAGGGAAACCGAGUCUUAACUGGGCGUUAAGUUGCAGGGUAUAGACCCGAAACCCGGUGAUCUAGCCAUGGGCAGGUUGAAGGUUGGGUAACACUAACUGGAGGACCGAACCGACUAAUGUUGAAAAAUUAGCGGAUGACUUGUGGCUGGGGGUGAAAGGCCAAUCAAACCGGGAGAUAGCUGGUUCUCCCCGAAAGCUAUUUAGGUAGCGCCUCGUGAACUCAUCUUCGGGGGUAGAGCACUGUUUCGGCUAGGGGGUCAUCCCGACUUACCAACCCGAUGCAAACUACGAAUACCGAAGAAUGUUAUCACGGGAGACACACGGCGGGUGCUAACGUCCGUCGUGAAGAGGGAAACAACCCAGACCGCCAGCUAAGGUCCCAAAGUCACAGUUAAGUGGGAAACGAUGUGGGAAGGCACAGACAGCCAGGAUGUUGGCUUAGAAGCAGCCAUCAUUUAAAGAAAGCGUAAUAGCUCACUGGUCGAGUCGGCCUGCGCGGAAGAUGUAACGGGGCUAAACUGUGCACCGAAGCUGCGGCAGCGACACUAUGUGUUGUUGGGUAGGGGAGCGUUCUGUAAGCCUGCGAAGGUGGCCUGUGAGGGUUGCUGGAGGUAUCAGAAGUGCGAAUGCUGACAUAAGUAACGAUAAUGCGGGUGAAAAGCCCGCACGCCGGAAGACCAAGGGUUCCUGUCCAACGUUAAUCGGGGCAGGGUGAGUCGACCCCUAAGGCGAGGCCGAAAGGCGUAGUCGAUGGGAAACAGGUUAAUAUUCCUGUACUUGGUGUUACUGCGAAGGGGGGACGGAGAAGGCUAUGUUAGCCGGGCGACGGUUGUCCCGGUUUAAGCAUGUAGGCGGAGGUUCCAGGUAAAUCCGGUACCUUUUAACGCUGAGGUGUGAUGACGAGGCACUACGGUGCUGAAGUAACAAAUGCCCUGCUUCCAGGAAAAGCCUCUAAGCAUCAGGUAACAUUAAAUCGUACCCCAAACCGACACAGGUGGUCAGGUAGAGAAUACCAAGGCGCUUGAGAGAACUCGGGUGAAGGAACUAGGCAAAAUGGUGCCGUAACUUCGGGAGAAGGCACGCUGAUAUGUAGGUGAAGCCCCUGCGGGUGGAGCUGAAAUCAGUCGAAGAUACCAGCUGGCUGCAACUGUUUAUUAAAAACACAGCACUGUGCAAACACGAAAGUGGACGUAUACGGUGUGACGCCUGCCCGGUGCCGGAAGGUUAAUUGAUGGGGUUAUCCGUAAGGAGAAGCUCUUGAUCGAAGCCCCGGUAAACGGCGGCCGUAACUAUAACGGUCCUAAGGUAGCGAAAUUCCUUGUCGGGUAAGUUCCGACCUGCACGAAUGGCGUAAUGAUGGCCAGGCUGUCUCCACCCGAGACUCAGUGAAAUUGAACUCGCUGUGAAGAUGCAGUGUACCCGCGGCAAGACGGAAAGACCCCGUGAACCUUUACUAUAGCUUGACACUGAACAUUGAGCCUUGAUGUGUAGGAUAGGUGGGAGGCUUUGAAGCGUGGACGCCAGUCUGCGUGGAGCCAACCUUGAAAUACCACCCUUUAAUGUUUGAUGUUCUAACGUUGGCCCCUAAUCGGGGUUGCGGACAGUGUCUGGUGGGUAGUUUGACUGGGGCGGUCUCCUCCCAAAGAGUAACGGAGGAGCACGAAGGUUAGCUAAUCCUGGUCGGACAUCAGGAGGUUAGUGCAAUGGCAUAAGCUAGCUUGACUGCGAGCGUGACGGCGCGAGCAGGUGCGAAAGCAGGUCAUAGUGAUCCGGUGGUUCUGAAUGGAAGGGCCAUCGCUCAACGGAUAAAAGGUACUCCGGGGAUAACAGGCUGAUACCGCCCAAGAGUUCAUAUCGACGGCGGUGUUUGGCACCUCGAUGUCGGCUCAUCACAUCCUGGGGCUGAAGUAGGUCCCAAGGGUAUGGCUGUUCGCCAUUUAAAGUGGUACGCGAGCUGGGUUUAGAACGUCGUGAGACAGUUCGGUCCCUAUCUGCCGUGGGCGCUGGAGAAUUGAGGGGGGCUGCUCCUAGUACGAGAGGACCGGAGUGGACGCAUCACUGGUGUUCGGGUUGUCAUGCCAAUGGCAUUGCCCGGUAGCUAAAUGCGGAAGAGAUAAGUGCUGAAAGCAUCUAAGCACGAAACUUGCCCCGAGAUGAGUUCUCCCUGAGACUUUAAGUCUCCUGAAGGAACGUUAAAGACGAUGACGUUGAUAGGUCGGGUGUGUAAGCGUAGCGAUACGUUGAGCUAACCGAUACUAAUGAACCGUGAGGCUUAACCUUACAACGCCGAAGGUGUUU